AGCGAACGCUGGCGGCAGGCUUAACACAUGCAAGUCGAGCGGGCACUCCGGUGUCAGCGGCAGACGGGUGAGGAACACGUGGGAACGUACCCUUUGGUUCGGAAUAACGCUGGGAAACUAGCGCUAAUACCGGAUACGCCCUUUUGGGGAAAGGCUUGCUGCCGAAGGAUCGGCCCGCGUCUGAUUAGCUAGUUGGUGGGGUAAUGGCCUACCAAGGCGACGAUCAGUAGCUGGUCUGAGAGGAGGAUCAGCCACACUGGGACUGGGACACGGCCCAGACUCCUACCAGAGGCAGCAGUGGGAAUAUAGGACAAUGGGCGCAAGGCUGAUCCAGCCAUGCCGGGUGAGUGAUGAAGGCCUUAGGGUUGUAAAGCUCUUUUGUCCGGGACGAUAAUGACGGUACCGGAAGAAUAAGCCCCGGCUAACUUCGUG
This 432-nucleotide ribosomal RNA is filed under the name uncultured bacterium. RNAcentral describes it as "partial 16S ribosomal RNA". It matches the Rfam family "Bacterial small subunit ribosomal RNA", at positions 29 to 507 of the family's 1533-position model. The record is from RNAcentral.